GGCCAGCGAUGGGGGCGAUGAUGUCGUACAAUCUAUGGCCGGCCGCGAAAGAAGGUCACCGAGAAUUAAGAAAGGUGCAGUCAAACCCAGUGUGCAGAAAAGAAAGAGGUCUCCUGAUUCAUCCGUGCCGAGACAGGGGAGAAUUUUGAAGAAACAAACAACAAGGAAGACUCGUGUCAAAAGCGAUAGCGCUAAGUUCAGUAGCGAUGACUUAGAGAAAGAAUCAAGUUCUAUUAUACCAGUAGGGCUGCAUAGGGUGACUCCGAUAAAAUGUCAUGUCAUACAGAGGCAGGUGGCUCCGUCACCAUUUGACCUGAACCUCAUCCCAAGAACCAGAAGUGUAUCAGUGGUCCAAGAAUUUUUCAGAUCCUUUACAGAAGAUGAGUCUGCCGAUUUAAAUAGAGCUUGGUUUGUGCAUGACAAACCAUGGACAAUCAAGCUGAUAGGAAGGGAACUUUGGAUGGCAUUUGUGAAAAGGGGCCCCAUUUCAAUAGAAUUGUUCGACGCAAUUACAAGGUUACUGCAAGAAGAAGAUGCAACCAUGUACAGAGAUUCGGGAUGUCAGGAACGGCAGUGGCGUCACCUUAUACCUCCAUGCUUUGGGGUACAGUUACUACACCAAAGCCUU
Molecule: long non-coding RNA, 628 nt
Organism: Panicum virgatum (switchgrass)
Lineage: Eukaryota; Viridiplantae; Streptophyta; Magnoliopsida; Poales; Poaceae
Exons: 3
Source: RefSeq, a predicted model, not a curated record